UACGUAGGUGGCAAGCGUUGUCCGGAUUUAUUGGGUUUAAAGGGUGCGUAGGCGGUUCCUUAAGUCAGUUGUGAAAUCCGGCAGCUUAACUGUCGAGGUGCAAUUGAUACUGGGGAACUAGAGUACUGAUGAGGUAUGCGGAAUGGACGGUGUAGCGGUGAAAUGCUUAGAUAUCGUCCAGAACACCGAUAGCGAAGGCAGCAUACUAAGGAGUAACUGACGCUGAGGCACGAAAGUGUGGGGAUCAAACAGG
RNAcentral lists this ribosomal RNA (253 nucleotides) under uncultured bacterium. RNAcentral's name for it is "partial 16S ribosomal RNA". It matches the Rfam family "Bacterial small subunit ribosomal RNA", at positions 524 to 776 of the family's 1533-position model. The record is from RNAcentral.